RNAcentral lists this long non-coding RNA (221 nucleotides) under Pan troglodytes (chimpanzee). RNAcentral's name for it is "long non-coding RNA NONPTRT010614". Lineage: Eukaryota; Metazoa; Chordata; Mammalia; Primates; Hominidae. The record is from RNAcentral.
CUCCUCAGAAACAAUCGGCCUGGAAGGUUAUAUUUAAAAAGAAAGUUUCUCUUUUGAAUAUUGCCACAAGAAUAAUGGGCGGUUGGAAAUCUGGAAGAGAGUAUCCUGAGAAUCUGCCCACCUUGAAGGCUACAAUUGAAAAUAAAGAUUCUGUUCUGAAUACAGCCACCAAAAUGAAGGAUGUACAAACAUCCACACCAGAACAAGACUUAGAAAUGGCA